AUGGAUGUAAAUCUUAAGAUCAUAUUCUGGAAUGUUCGCGGUCUCAAUAGCCGGGCUAAACACGUUGCAGUUCGCUCCGUUAUUAGUUCCGUUUCACCCUCAGUGGUUUGCUUGCAAGAAACCAAACUCUCGUCGGUUUCGCAAACUCUAGUCUUUGAGACUCUUGGCAACACAUUUGAUGGGUUCUACUUCCUCCCGGCGAUUGACACCCGGGGUGGCAUCAUCCUCGCUUGGCAGAGCUGCCAACUCACCCUCUCUAAUCCCAUGAUUGGCGACCACCAUGUCUCCGCCGUUGUGAGCCCCACCAUGGGCGGACCUCACUGGUGGCUCACGGGCGUCUACGGCCAUCAAGGAGAUGACGCUAAGUUAGCAUUCCUCAACGAGCUCCAAGACCUCCGUUCAAGCAUCGCGGGCCCCUGGCUUCUAGGGGGAGACUUCAACAUGAUCACUUCGUUGGCCGACAAGAAUAAUGAUCGCGUCUCUCGCCGCACGAUGAAUCGCUUUCGUCGCUUCAUUUCCGAUCAUGGCCUAUAUGACAUUUACAUGCAUGGCCGGCGCUAUAAUUGGUCCAACGAACAAGCAAACCCCACCCUCGUUCGGAAUGACCGCGUACUCUGCACCCCCUCCUGGGAGACGUCACACCCACAGUGUCUGCUGCGAUGCCUCUCUUCUGCGGCCUCUGAUCACUGCCCAUUGUUGAUUGAUUGCGCGGCCCACUCUCUUGGAGGAUGA
RNAcentral lists this ribosomal RNA (732 nucleotides) under Triticum aestivum (bread wheat). Its description in RNAcentral is "partial small subunit ribosomal RNA". The record is from RNAcentral. Lineage: Eukaryota; Viridiplantae; Streptophyta; Magnoliopsida; Poales; Poaceae.